ACAAACGCAUUGAUGGAGACAGUACAAAACGGAAAUCCGAUCGAGCGAGCCGGGGGCGGUGGAAGCCUGGCGCGGGGCCGUCUUGGAAAAUCACUCCUGAGCUGGACCGGUGAACGCAAGUAACCGGGCCCGUCCCCGCCACGUUACGGUGUAGAGUUGGCAGCACACAGCUGCAACAAGGGUGGUACCGCGAGCUUCUCGUCCCUUUC
RNAcentral lists this non-coding RNA (209 nucleotides) under Planococcus rifietoensis. RNAcentral describes it as "T-box sequence". It matches the Rfam family "T-box leader". From Rfam's summary of the family: Uncharged tRNA acts as the effector for transcription antitermination of genes in the T-box leader family. The record is from RNAcentral. Lineage: Bacteria; Bacillati; Bacillota; Bacilli; Caryophanales; Caryophanaceae.